Molecule: ribosomal RNA, 193 nt
Filed under: Achondrostoma arcasii
Lineage: Eukaryota; Metazoa; Chordata; Actinopteri; Cypriniformes; Leuciscidae
Description: partial 12S ribosomal RNA
Source: RNAcentral
UAAAGGCAUGGUCCUGACCUUAUUAUUAGCUUUAACCCAACUUACACAUGCAAGUCUCCGCAACCCCGUGAGUAUGCCCUUAAUCCCCCACCCGGGGACGAGGAGCGGGCAUCAGGCACAAAUUUUUAGCCCAAGACGCCUGGCCGAGCCACACCCCCAAGGGAAUUCAGCAGUGAUAAAUAUUAAGCCAUAA